AACGCGAAGAACCUUACCAGGGUUUGACAUGCAAGUGGUAGUGAAGCGAAAGCGGAACGACCCUUCGGGGAGCUUGCACAGGUGUUGUAUGGCUGUCGUCAGCUCGUGUCGUGAGAUGUUCGGUUAAGUCCGCUAACGAGCGCAACCCUCUCUGUGUGUUAUAUGUGUCACACGGUACUGCCGGUGUCAAGCCGGAGGAAGGUGGGGAUGACGUCAAGUCAGCAUGGCCUUUAUAUCCCGGGCUACACACACGCUACAAUGGCCGGUACAAUGGGUAGCUAAGCCGCGAGGCGGAGCCAAUCCUCAAAGCCGGUCUCAGUUCAGAUCGCAGGCUGCAACUCGCCUACGUGAAGACGGAGUUGCUAGUAACCGCAGGUCAGCUAUACUGCGGUGAAUACGUUCCCGGGUCUUGUACACACCG
RNAcentral lists this ribosomal RNA (421 nucleotides) under uncultured bacterium. RNAcentral describes it as "bacterial SSU rRNA". It matches the Rfam family "Bacterial small subunit ribosomal RNA", at positions 958 to 1392 of the family's 1533-position model. The record is from RNAcentral.